RNAcentral lists this ribosomal RNA (432 nucleotides) under uncultured bacterium. RNAcentral's name for it is "partial 16S ribosomal RNA". It matches the Rfam family "Bacterial small subunit ribosomal RNA", at positions 29 to 506 of the family's 1533-position model. The record is from RNAcentral.
AACGAACGCUGGCGGCAUGCCUAACACAUGCAAGUCGAACGAGACCUUCGUGGUUAUUGGCGUACGGAUGCGUAACGCGUAAGAACCUGCUCUUAGGUUCGGAACAACUCCCCGAAAGUGGUGCUAAUACCGGAUAAUGUAUUCGGACCAAAGAUUCAUUGCCUUUGGGUGGGCCGGCGUUUGAUUAGUUAUUUGGUAGGGUAAAAGCCUACCAAGGCGACGAUACAUAGCUGGUCUGGGGGGAUGAUCAGCCACACUGGGAGAGGGACACGGCCCAGACUCCUACGGGAGGGAGCAGUGGGGAAUAUGGGACACUGGGCGAAAGACUGAUCCAGCAGUGCCGCGUGAGUGAUGAAGGCGUGAGGGUUGUAAAGCUCUUUUACACGGGAUGAUAAUGACAGUACCGGGAGAAUAGGCACGGGCUACCUCCGU